Molecule: non-coding RNA, 1125 nt
Organism: Cyanistes caeruleus (blue tit)
Lineage: Eukaryota; Metazoa; Chordata; Aves; Passeriformes; Paridae
Source: RefSeq, a predicted model, not a curated record
UGGAAUGAAAUGACCCUUCCAAACCAAUUUUCUGAUUCUCUUCUGUGAUUCAUUCCUAUCCCAUUUGUAACUAUGGCUGUUUGUGACAACUGCUGUUAACGUGGUCUAGAUCUGGUCAGUGCAGGACAGACCAUCCCACUAGCAGGGAAUAAGGACCUUGUAAACUCCACCUGCAGCUGUCCCAGGCAGGGCACUGCCUGCAAUGCAAACACUGUCAAACCAGGCAGGAUUCAGCCCUGCAGCACCUGCUUCACUGCCACAACACAAAUGCAAAGGCAUCACCAAACAAACAAACAAAAUCCUCCACCCCACCCUGAAUUAGGCUUUUCCCUCGCGCAGGUGGGGUGAAGUGCAAGCUCAACAGCUUGAAUCACACAGCCAUAACUUCACCCAACCCCAGCCAUUAUGGCAUCAUCAGCUGGGGCUGAUGCACUUGUGCACCACCACAGAGCACACUGCUGAGAGCCUGUGAGACACCAAGUCUACUGGCAUAACAUCAGAACUGGUUUUUCUGAAGCCAUGGGGAUCCAGACUGGUCUUCAGCUAACUUCUGAGUGACAAACCCAAGCCACAUGUCUACUCAAAGGCACAUCUCUGAACAGCAGCAUCAUGCCCUCCAUGGAUGAACAUUUUGUACACUGGGAAAAAUGCCAAAUAACUCAGGUAUCCAUACUGCAAUGAAUUCUGCUAUCUGCCACCCUCCUCAGGUCUGGAUCCACACAGCUUCAUCCCCCAGCAACAGCGCUGCCAAGGCAGAUGGGCCAGCAAGGUUUCAACAAGAGGGUCUUAAGCAGAAGGCAGCCAUGCUGAAGGAGUUAAUCUUGCCUGGAACAACCUAUCUCCGGUUUCUCAGAAACUCCAAGGCUGCAGAGCUGGGCUUUCUGCUCCCUGCCUGCUCUUUGCCUGCCCUGCCUGCAGCCUGACCCCUGACAUUUCCACUCUGCUUCUCCCUGGCAUGGAAAACUUAACCAUACACAAACAAACAGGUUGGGAGGACAGAUAAAUGGAACAGAGGAGGAGAAAGGGAAGAUUGCUCAGAUUCCUUGUCAAGGCCCUGAUUAAAUAACAGCAACACCACCAGACGUGGGUGAGGGGCUGGCAUUUAUCAGUAAACCCUGAAGUCUA